GUGGGGAAUAUUGGACAAUGGGGGGAACCCUGAUCCAGCCAUGCCGCGUGUGUGAAGAAGGCCUUUUGGUUGUAAAGCACUUUAAGCGAGGAGGAGGCUACCGAGAUUAAUACUCUUGGAUAGUGGACGUUACUCGCAGAAUAAGCACCGGCUAACUCUGUUCCAGCAGCCGCGGUAAUACAGAGGGUGCAAGCGUUAAUCGGAUUUACUGGGCGUCAAGCGCGCGUAGGUGGCCCAUUAAGUCAAAUGUGAAAUCCACGAGCUUAACUUGGGAAUUGCAUUCGAUACUGAUUGGCUAGAGUAUGGGAGAGGAUGGUAGAAUUCCAGGUGUAGCGGUGAAAUGCGUAGAGCUCUGGAGGAAUACCGAUGGCGAAGGCAGCCAUCUGGCCUAAUACUGACACUGAGGUGCGAAAGCAUGGGGAGCAAACAGGAUUAGAAACCCCGGUAGUCC
RNAcentral lists this ribosomal RNA (451 nucleotides) under uncultured bacterium. Its description in RNAcentral is "partial 16S ribosomal RNA". It matches the Rfam family "Bacterial small subunit ribosomal RNA", at positions 354 to 796 of the family's 1533-position model. The record is from RNAcentral.